Molecule: non-coding RNA, 22 nt
Filed under: Arabidopsis thaliana (thale cress)
Lineage: Eukaryota; Viridiplantae; Streptophyta; Magnoliopsida; Brassicales; Brassicaceae
Source: RNAcentral
UGGUCAACAACUGGUGCAUUCG